GACGAACGCUGGCGGCGUGCUUAACACAUGCAAGUCGAACGGAAAGGCCCUGCUUGCAGGGUACUCGAGUGGCGAACGGGUGAGUAACACGUGGGUGAUCUGCCCUGCACUUCGGGAUAAGCCUGGGAAACUGGGUCUAAUACCGGAAAGGAGCCAUUUUAAGGGUUAUGGUUGGAAAGUUUUUUCGGUGUAGGUAGAGCACGCGGCCUCUCAGCUUGUUGGUGGGGUAAUGGCCUACCAAUGCGGAGACGGGUAGCCGGCCUGGGAGGGUGGACGGCCACAGUGGGACUGAGAUUCGGACCAGACUCCUACGGGAGGGAGAAGUGGGGGAUAUUGAUAAAGGGGAGCAGGCCUGAUGCAGCGACGCCGCGUGGGGGAUGACGGCGUUCGGGUUGUAAACGCCUUUCGCUAGGGACGAAGCUUUUUGUGACGGUACCUAGAUAAGAAGCACCGGCUAACUACGUG
Molecule: ribosomal RNA, 465 nt
Filed under: uncultured bacterium
Lineage: Bacteria
Description: partial 16S ribosomal RNA
Rfam family: Bacterial small subunit ribosomal RNA
Source: RNAcentral